This 433-nucleotide ribosomal RNA is filed under the name uncultured bacterium. RNAcentral describes it as "partial 16S ribosomal RNA". It matches the Rfam family "Bacterial small subunit ribosomal RNA", at positions 29 to 507 of the family's 1533-position model. The record is from RNAcentral.
AACGAACGCUGGCGGCAUGCCUAACACAAGCAAGUCGAACGAGACCUUCGGGUCUAGUGGCGCACGGGUGCGUAACGCGUGGGAACCUGCCCUUAGGUUCGGAAUAACUCCCCGAAAGGGGUGCUAAUACCGGAUAAUGUCUUCGGACCAAAGAUUUAUCGCCUUUGGAUGGGCCCGCGUUGGAUUAGCUAGUUGGUAGGGUAAAAGCCUACCAAGGCGACGAUCCAUAGCUGGUCUGAGAGGAUGAUCAGCCACACUGGGACUGAGACACGGCCCAGACUCCUACGGGAGGCAGCAGUGGGGAAUAUUGGACAAUGGGCGAAAGCCUGAUCCAGCAAUGCCGUGUGAGUGAUGAAGGCCUUAGGGUUGUAAAGCUCUUAUACCCGGGAUGAUAAUGACAGUACCGGGAGAAUAAGCUCCGGCUAACUCCGUG